GACGAACGCUGGCGGCGUGCCUAAUACAUGCAAGUUGAGCGCUGAAGGUUGGUACUUGUACCAACUGGAUGAGCAGCGAACGGGUGAGUAACGCGUGGGGAAUCUGCCUUUGAGCGGGGGACAACAUUUGGAAACGAAUGCUAAUACCGCAUAAAAACUUUAAACACAAGUUUUAAGUUUGAAAGAUGCAAUUGCAUCACUCAAAGAUGAUCCCGCGUUGUAUUAGCUAGUUGGUGAGGUAAAGGCUCACCAAGGCGAUGAUACAUAGCCGACCUGAGAGGGUGAUCGGCCACAUUGGGACUGAGACACGGCCCAAACUCCUACGGGAGGCAGCAGUAGGGAAUCUUCGGCAAUGGACGAAAGUCUGACCGAGCAACGCCGCGUGAGUGAAGAAGGCUUUCGGAUCGUAAAACUCUGUUGGUAGAGAAGAACGUUGGUGAGAGUGGAAAGCUCAUCAAGUGACGGUAACUACCCAGAAGGGACGGCUAACUACGUG
Molecule: ribosomal RNA, 496 nt
Filed under: uncultured bacterium
Lineage: Bacteria
Description: partial 16S ribosomal RNA
Rfam family: Bacterial small subunit ribosomal RNA
Source: RNAcentral